This 24-nucleotide non-coding RNA is filed under the name Arabidopsis thaliana (thale cress). Lineage: Eukaryota; Viridiplantae; Streptophyta; Magnoliopsida; Brassicales; Brassicaceae. The record is from RNAcentral.
GUACGUGUUCUAUAUAAACCACCC